GAAAUUCACAAAACAUGAGAUGGCCUAAAUGACAUUUUGUACUAAAAUAAAUAAACUCAAGAGUCAAAAAAAGAAAAAUCUCUCAAAGUUCACCUAUAAGCAAAUAUAUUUUUUAAAAGAAAUUUUGAGAAACAAUGCAAUAAUAAGCAGUGAAAACAUAAAAUGCACCCAGAUCAUCUAUAGAGCCAUCACACAAGGCAAGCUUCAAAAAGGCUUCCUACGAAUUUACAAGGAACUGAAUUCGCUAAAAUAAAUAAAAGAUAC
RNAcentral lists this unclassified non-coding RNA (264 nucleotides) under Hevea brasiliensis (rubber tree). Lineage: Eukaryota; Viridiplantae; Streptophyta; Magnoliopsida; Malpighiales; Euphorbiaceae. The record is from RNAcentral.